RNAcentral lists this ribosomal RNA (253 nucleotides) under uncultured bacterium. RNAcentral describes it as "partial 16S ribosomal RNA". It matches the Rfam family "Bacterial small subunit ribosomal RNA", at positions 524 to 776 of the family's 1533-position model. The record is from RNAcentral.
UCCGGAGGGUGCGAGCGUUGUUCGGAAUCAUUGGGCGUAAAGCGCGUGUAGGCGGCUUGGCAAGUCGGUUGUGAAAUCCCGGGGCCCAACCCCGGAACUGCAAUCGAAACUGCCUCGCUAGAGUCCCGGAGAGGAAGGCGGAAUUCCCGGUGUAGAGGUGAAGUUCGUAGAUAUCGGGAGGAACACCAGUGGCGAAGGCGGCCUUCUGGACGGUGACUGCCGCUCAGCCGCGAAAGCGUGGGGAGCAAACAGG